This 253-nucleotide ribosomal RNA is filed under the name uncultured bacterium. RNAcentral describes it as "partial 16S ribosomal RNA". It matches the Rfam family "Bacterial small subunit ribosomal RNA", at positions 524 to 776 of the family's 1533-position model. The record is from RNAcentral.
UACGGGGGGGGCAAGCGUUGCUCGGAAUUAUUGGGCGUAAAGCGUACGCAGGCGGCUCUGCAAGUCGAGUGUGAAAACCCGGGGCUCAACCCCGGAAUUGCACUCGAAACUGCCGGGCUUGAGUGCGGGAGAGGGAAGCGGAAUUCCUGGUGUAGAGGUGAAAUUCGUAGAUAUCAGGAGGAACACCGGUGGCGAAAGUGGCUUCCUGGCCCGAUACUGACUCUCAUGUACGAAAGCGUGGGGAGCAAACAGG